CACGUAGGGUGCGAGCGUUGUCCGGAAUUAUUGGGCGUAAAGAGCUCGUAGGCGGUUUGUUGCGUCGGCUGUGAAAUCCCGAGGCUCAACCUCGGGUCUGCAGUCGAUACGAGCAAACUAGAGUGUUGCAGGGGAGACUGGAAUUCCUGGUGUAGCGGUGAAAUGCGCAGAUAUCAGGAGGAACACCGGUGGCGAAGGCGGGUCUCUGGGCAACAACUGACGCUGGAGGAGCGAAAGCCGUGGGGAGC
This 248-nucleotide ribosomal RNA is filed under the name uncultured bacterium. RNAcentral describes it as "partial 16S ribosomal RNA". It matches the Rfam family "Bacterial small subunit ribosomal RNA", at positions 524 to 769 of the family's 1533-position model. The record is from RNAcentral.